UACGUAGGGGGCAAGCGUUGUCCGGAUUUAUUGGGCGUAAAGAGCGUGUAGGCGGCCUGAAAGGUCAGCUGUGAAAACUCGAGGCUCAACCUCGAGACGUCGGUUGAAACCAUCUGGCUAGAGUCCGGAAGAGGAGAGUGGAAUUCCCGGUGUAGCGGUGAAAUGCGCAGAUAUCGGGAAGAACACCCGUGGCGAAGGCGGCUCUCUGGGACGGUACUGACGCUGAGACGCGAAAGCGUGGGGAGCAAACAGG
RNAcentral lists this ribosomal RNA (253 nucleotides) under uncultured bacterium. RNAcentral describes it as "partial 16S ribosomal RNA". It matches the Rfam family "Bacterial small subunit ribosomal RNA", at positions 524 to 776 of the family's 1533-position model. The record is from RNAcentral.